Long non-coding RNA from Ruditapes philippinarum (Manila clam), 929 nucleotides. RefSeq lists it as uncharacterized. The record is from RefSeq and is a predicted model, not a curated record. Lineage: Eukaryota; Metazoa; Mollusca; Bivalvia; Venerida; Veneridae. The transcript is spliced from 3 exons.
ACUAUUUCAGGGACUUCUUGGAACAGUCGGAUGCCGGUUUGUCAAGAUUGAAUGUAGAAGAAUUUCAAGAUUUACCAAAGCAGCAGAACAGUAAUGAUUGCGGUGUGUUCAUGUGUCAGUUUGGGGUGUGCAGGGCUUUUAAAAAGCAUGUUAAUUUCACACAGGAGCAUAUUCAACAAUACAGAAAUGCCAUGUUGGUGGAGUGUAUGGCUGGGAGGUUGAUGCCUCGCUUCUGAAAAUAAAUCAGCUACAUGACAGGGAAAAAAAAUCAUGAUUGAAAACUGCUUAUUUGUACCCGAAACAAACAAACAAAUUAAAGUUUUCUAUCUGUUUGAUAUUUAAGCAUUACUUAUAACAUGCAGUAAUAUUUUCUGUUUGUUAUCAGUUUGAACUAUAUUUCCAUUAUUUUUAAAUUAUGUCAUUUGGUAAUUGUUUUUAAAAAUUUGAUCGGUGGUAAUCCAUUUUUAUGAGAUAAAAAAAAUCUCACUUAUCCAGAAAUAAUUUUAUUGUGAAAUAAGAAAUACAAUGUACUAUACAAAAUCAUUUGCAUUAGGUAUUUGUCCAGUUCUUUUAGAGCAGUUCAUGUUUGGCAUUGGCCCCACGAGUGUUCAUUAACCCAGAGAUUGCAGUGUAAUUUUGCUACCUUGUGUCAACUGUGUCGAUGUUUAUCAAACGGUCUUUUUUGUAUUAUAAUGAGUAAUAAAUAGAGACAACAAAAUGUGUGCUUAUUGUAGUGUCAUCUUUACUGAAAGGUCCAGUCAUCUUGACAUUAGACACUUUAUCCCCUAAUUCCUUUUCUGCCAGGCACUACAAAGUUGUGUGUACAAUAUCCCAUAUAAGUCCCUUACUGGUUUAGCCAGAGGGAACUUUGGGUUUUCCCUCUGUCCGUCUGUCUGUCUGUCUGCCUUCCAUCCACAAAACUGGAUCCC